UAGGGAAACUUCGGCAAUGGGGGCAACCCUGACCGAGCAACGCCGCGUGAGUGAAGAAGGUUUUCGGAUCGUAAAGCUCUGUUGUAAGAGAAGAACGUGUGUGAGAGUGGAAAGUUCACACAGUGACGGUAACUUACCAGAAAGGGACGGCUAACUACGUGCCAGCAGCCGCGGUAAUACGUAGGUCCCGAGCGUUGUCCGGAUUUAUUGGGCGUAAAGCGAGCGCAGGCGGUUUAAUAAGUCUGAAGUUAAAGGCAGUGGCUUAACCAUUGUUCGCUUUGGAAACUGUUACACUUGAGUGCAGAAGGGGAGAGUGGAAUUCCAUGUGUAGCGGUGAAAUGCGUAGAUAUAUGGAGGAACGCCGGUGGCGAAAGCGGCUCUCUGGUCUGUAACUGACGCUGAGGCUCGAAAGCGUGGGGAGCAAACAGG
RNAcentral lists this ribosomal RNA (429 nucleotides) under bacterium. Its description in RNAcentral is "partial 16S ribosomal RNA". It matches the Rfam family "Bacterial small subunit ribosomal RNA", at positions 355 to 776 of the family's 1533-position model. The record is from RNAcentral.